This 497-nucleotide ribosomal RNA is filed under the name uncultured bacterium. Its description in RNAcentral is "partial 16S ribosomal RNA". It matches the Rfam family "Bacterial small subunit ribosomal RNA", at positions 28 to 507 of the family's 1533-position model. The record is from RNAcentral.
GAUGAACGCUGGCGGCGUGCCUAAUACAUGCAAGUCGAGCGAACAGACGAGGAGCUUGCUCCUCUGACGUUAGCGGCGGACGGGUGAGUAACACGUGGAUAACCUACCUAUAAGACUGGGAUAACUUCGGGAAACCGGAGCUAAUACCGGAUAAUAUAUUGAACCGCAUGGUUCAAUAGUGAAAGACGGUUUUGCUGUCACUUAUAGAUGGAUCCGCGCCGCAUUAGCUAGUUGGUAAGGUAACGGCUUACCGAGGCAACGAUGCGUAGCCGACCUGAGCGGGUGAUCGGCCACACUGGAACUGAGACACGGUCCAGACUCCUACGGGAGGCAGCAGUAGGGAAUCUUCCGCAAUGGGCGAAAGCCUGACGGAGCAACGCCGCGUGAGUGAUGAAGGUCUUCGGAUCGUAAAACUCUGUUAUUAGGGAAGAACAAAUGUGUAAGUAACUAUGCACGUCUUGACGGUACCUAAUCAGAAAGCCACGGCUAACUACGUG